RNAcentral lists this ribosomal RNA (437 nucleotides) under uncultured bacterium. RNAcentral describes it as "partial 16S ribosomal RNA". It matches the Rfam family "Bacterial small subunit ribosomal RNA", at positions 339 to 795 of the family's 1533-position model. The record is from RNAcentral.
CUACGGGCCGCUCCAGUGAGGAAUAUUGCACAAUGGAGGAAACUCUGAUGCAGCAACGCCGCGUGGAGGAUGACGCAUUUCGGUGUGUAAACUCCUUUUAUGAGUCAAGAAAAUGACGGUAGCUCAUGAAUAAGCACCGGCUAACUCCGUGCCAGCAGCCGCGGUAAUACGGAGGGUGCAGCGUUACUCGGAAUCACUGGGCGUAAAGGACGCGUAGGCGGGAUAUCAAGUCAGGUGUGAAAUCCUACAGCUUAACUGUAGAACUGCACUUGAAACUGGUAACCUAGAGUAUGGAGGGGGAAAUGGAAUUAGUGGUGUAGGGGUAAAAUCCGUAGAUAUCACUAGGAAUACCUGAAGCGAAGGCGAUCUCCUGGAACAUAACUGACGCUAAGGCGUGAAAGCGUGGGGAGCAAACAGGAUUAGAUACCCCAGUAGUC